AAGCACAGGACUGGUUCGUGACAUAGUGAGAUAUAUCCACAUUGCUUUAUUGUGCGUUCAAGAAAAUGUGGCAGAUAGACCAACUAUGGCUGCAGUAGUUCUCAUGCUCAGUAGCCUCUCUUUGAGUCUUCCAGUUCCUUCAGGGCCUGCAUAUUAUAUGCACAAUGAUAUUAGCGCAGAGGCUUCGCUUAUUCAAGAAAACAAUUCAAGAAUGUCAGAAUCUAAAGAACUAGCCAAAAGUAAAUCUCUCUCUUCCUCACGAAAUGAGGCGUCCAUAACUGAGUUAUAUCCUCGAUAACAUCCUUAGACAUAAUAGCCUUUUUGUUAGUUUUCUCAUUUACUUUGUUAUUCUGUUCAAACUCCAAUUAGUUUGGGAUUGCGAUUGAUUAAUUAAGGAUUUUUUGUUUUAUCACAAAGUUUAUAUUUGUUUCGUAGGUAUUACUCGAGUAAAUUUCAUGAGUGGUUAUUCAUUUUUGUGUUCAUUACCCAAAAGUUAAUUUUUUUUUUGUUACGUAAAAGUCAUUCAACUUUGUGUUCAUUAUUCAAAAGUCAUUUUUCUUUCUUUUGUUACACAAAAAUCAUUUUACUAUUAUCUAGCUAUCACAAUAGUCACUUUGACAGAUUUUAUAAAAGUUUUACCUGAAAAGUCUAUUAUGCCCUUGACAUUAUAAAUCUUCCCAUUUAUGUAAUACCUUCUAUAUUAUAUUAUAUAAUAUAAUAUACCUAGAUUAAUUACUUAUAAUUAAAAUAAAUUUUAUAUUAUUUCAUUGAUUAUUUUUAUUAUAUAUUUGUACAUUUAGUUCUUCCUUAACAUUAAUUUUCAAGAUAUAUAGAUAGCAUUAUUAAAUUUGUCUGUAAUAUUACUGUAAACAAAUCUCAAGUAAAUGUUCUUAACCAUGCCUAAUGAAAUAUUUUUAAUGAAAAUUAUAAAAUCAAAACUCACAGAUUUAUCAGUCAAGCCAUAUUCGUUACUCUGAUAAAUAAAAUAUCCGCAUUUAGAACACUCACACAUCGAUGAGUACUUUUAAAGAAAUAAUAUUAAUAGAUAAAGCCUUAAAAAACUUAAUAUUAAACACAAAUAUUUUUGAUUUUUUUAAAAAAUAUAUUAACUAAAAAAAACUCAUUUGUUAAAUAAAUUUAUUUUUAUUAUUUAAAAUAAAUAUUAAAAGUAAUUUUUUUUUAUUGUUUUUAUAUUUUAAAAUAUGUUCAUGUUUGAAUAUGAUUAAGCAAAUUGAGUUCCAUGAGAAAAUUAACUGUACUGAUAUAUUAUAAAAAGAAUAAAUAAAAUAAUAUACGUUUUUAAUUAUAAGUAAAAUAUAUAGGGAAAACUAUAUUAUAUAGUAUAUAAGGUAUUACCUAAAUGAGAGGAUUUAUAAUGCUAAGGGAAUAAUAGAUUUUUCAAGUAAAGUAUUAUAAAAUCUGGCCAAUUUAACUAUUGUGAUAAAUAGAGUAAAGUAAAAUAAAUUUUAUGUAACAAAAGAAAGAAAAAUGACUUUUGGGAUAAUGAACACAAAGUUGAAUGACCUUUACGUAACAAAAAAAAAUUGGGGUAAUGAAUACAAAGCUGAAUGAGUAAUCUCCAAUUACUGUCAAUUACAAGAAAGUAUAUAUGCUAGCUUUUAAGCAGUAAGAUAUUUUCAACUAUACCUGUUUAACGGGUCGGGUUGACCUGGUUCCGGAUCGGCCCAAACCGAUAUUAAACCGGACCAGCCCGGACCGGUGGUAAGGGGUGGGUAGGGCUGGGUUUAGGGGGUAAGGGGUUAAGACGUUUACAUUUUCCUUACCGGUUAACCGGACCGGUCAAAAUCGGUCAAGAAAAAUUAUUAUUGAACUGGUUAACCGGACCGGUCCAGACCGGUUCAACGGCUAUUUUCUGAAUAUAUUUUUUUUUUAAAUUCAUUUGAACGUUGGCAACAGCCACCUUCCAAUUUUAUAAUCUUAAUAAAAAAGUAUUGUGUUUGUCUUUUGAUAAUGCUUCUAAUAAUAAUGCUGCUAUUUCAAUAUUAAGACUGCAUUUGAAACCACUAGUAGACGAAAUUUUUCAUGUUAGGUGUGCAUGCCAUAUUUAUAAUUUAAUUGUUAAAAGUGACCUUGAUUUAUUUUCGACUGAGAUUACUCAUGUUAGAAGAGCAGUUGGUGUUAUUCAAGGAAAUAAUAGACAAUCUAGAAUUAGGGAAUUUAAGAUUAAGUGUACGGAGCAUAACCUUAACCCGAGAUUCAUGCCAGAUGAAAAUGUUACUAGAUGGAAUUAUACAUACUUAUUAUUAAAAUGUUGCUACAAAUAUAGAUUGCCGAUAACUAAAGUUGCUAAUGCGCAUUGUACUAAUCCAAACCGUAUGUUAACAACUAAUACUUUGGAGGCCAUUAAUGAUGUUGUUCAACUUUUACAUAAAAUUUAUACAGCUAUUGUUGAGUUUUCUAGAGCAUAUUACCCUACUAUUACUAUGGCUUUAGUACAUAUAGCUGAAGUUUCUUUUCUACUCUCUGAAUUUAAGAAGAAAGAAAAUUAUAAGGAUGUUGUUGAAAAAAUGCAAGCCAAAUUCAAAAAAUUAUUUCUUUCCAAUUCCUCCAAUUUACUUAAUUGGUGAUGUUUUAAAUCCUUUUAUAAAGAUGUCUAAUUGUCACUAAUUAAUCAAUAUUUUAUAUAGUUAUAUGGAGAUUGGACCAACUGAAACCUCAGAUAUAUAUAUUGUNNNNNNNNNNNNNNNNNNNNNNNNNAGGAACAUUAAUGAACUUCAAUUCUACUUGCAAAAGAAAUCAGAGACUCACACAAAGGAAUUUUCACUGUUGGGAUGGUGGCAUGAGAAUGAAAAGCAAUUUCAUGUUCUUUUCGCUAUGGCUCGGGACUUGCUGAAUAUGCCAAUUUUAACUGUUGCAUCAGAGUGUGCAUUUAGUCAAGCAAGACAACAACUAAGAGACACCCGUCACUUAUUGGGAAGCAAUGCUUUGGAAAUUUUAAUAUGUUUGAGAGAUUGGAUUAGAUCGGAACGAAGAAAUUAGGGACGUGAAGAUGUUGAUAAACCAGAAGACGAAGAACUUGGAGAUAUAUUAACAUAUGGUCACCCAUCUGAAUUUAACACUCCAGAAGAUGGCCAAGAAAUUCAUAUUGAUUAUGAAGAACUUACUAAGGCAAUGCAAAACCUUUGAAGUUCUGGAUUUAUAUUUAAUAAUUAAACUUUGAAUUUACUCUUUUUCGUUAAUUUAGUUGUUGUUAAAUAUAAACUCUAAUUUGCAAGCUUGAAAUAAAAAAGAACUUGCAAAUUAUAAGUGCAAUUUUUUUCCAUCUUCAUUGUAUUCUAUUAUCUUAAAUUCUUAAUGAAAUAUUCAAAUAUAAAGAUUUUAAAGCCUUUGUAUCCUUUAUUCAAACACUCUUUUUAUAAGAUUAUUUUUUUAUUUUAUAUUUUUACUUUAUAUUAAUAUAAACUACGAUAGUUAUACAAAAUAAAUUAAAAAAAAAAAAAAAACACCGGUCCGACCCCUUAUGCCCGGAACCGUUCCGGUUCAAUAAUUCACCGGAUGGGCCCGGACCCGUUAAACCCGAUUUCGAAAAGGGAUUUUUUCGUUCCUAUACACUAUUUGAAGUCUUAUUACGAAAAAUGUCUAAGUUUUUGUAUUUACCCGAUCUAAACACGUUUUAGCUACAAAAUGUAUACAUUUCACCUUAAAAAGCCCACAAUUCAUUAUUAGUGCAUUCAAUCAAGGGAUUUAGUUAUAUAUUUUUCCUUUUUUCUCUCCUCUUUCCCCUUUUCUCUCCGGAUCUUCCACCCUAUAUGCCCCCACAAACAAGAGAAGAAACCAAUAACAAGUGUCAACUUACAGGUCGACAGAGUUAAGUAUGGGAACUUACAGGUCAAGAGGAAGAGACGCGUUCGACGGCGAAAUUGGAAUGUGGAUUCCGUCAAUUAACAUGUUGUCCUCUAGAAGCUAGAAGGGCGUGUGAAGUUCCAAAUUCGUCAAAUGUUAGCGAUUCCCGUUUUGGUUACCGAUUCCC
RNAcentral lists this long non-coding RNA (3991 nucleotides) under Nicotiana tabacum (common tobacco). RNAcentral's name for it is "long non-coding RNA (NTAB_LNC006325)". Lineage: Eukaryota; Viridiplantae; Streptophyta; Magnoliopsida; Solanales; Solanaceae. The record is from RNAcentral.